ACGAACGCUGGCGGCGUGCUUAACACAUGCACGUCGAACGGAAAGGCCCUGCUUUUGUGGGGUGCUCGAGUGGCGAACGGGUGAGUAACACGUGAGUAACCUGCCCUUGACUUUGGGAUAACUUCAGGAAACUGGGGCUAAUACCGGAUAGGAGCUCCUGCUGCAUGGUGGGGGUUGGAAAGUUUCGGCGGUUGGGGAUGGACUCGCGGCUUAUCAGCUUGUUGGUGGGGUAGUGGCUUACCAAGGCUUUGACGGGUAGCCGGCCUGAGAGGGUGACCGGCCACAUUGGGACUAAGAUACGGCCCAGACUCCUACGGGAGGCAGCAGUGGGGAAUAUUGCACAAUGGGCGGAAGCCUGAUGCAGCAACGCCGCGUGCGGGAUGACGGCCUUCGGGUUGUAAACCGCUUUCGCCUGUGACGAAGCGUGAGUGACGGUAAUGGGUAAAGAAGCACCGGCUAACUACGU
Molecule: ribosomal RNA, 466 nt
Filed under: uncultured bacterium
Lineage: Bacteria
Description: partial 16S ribosomal RNA
Rfam family: Bacterial small subunit ribosomal RNA
Source: RNAcentral